This is a long non-coding RNA of Actinia tenebrosa (Australian red waratah sea anemone), 503 nucleotides long. RefSeq lists it as uncharacterized. The record is from RefSeq and is a predicted model, not a curated record. Lineage: Eukaryota; Metazoa; Cnidaria; Anthozoa; Actiniaria; Actiniidae.
UUCUGUUUUGGUCUAGUGUCGGAAGUCGAGAGUGCUACGCCGAGAGUCGGGAGUACCGGGUCGAGAGUCGAGACUACACUUGAUCUGAGUACCAAAUUACAGUGGGCUGAUGAGUCAAGCGACAACGUUUGACAAGAUUCACCAAAACCUUGUUGGUGUUCAGUUUCCUGAUGAUGUUAUCAAGAUAAACAGGCCAUCUAGAUUACCAAACUGUCUUCCCUACAGGCAACUUCAAUGUAACAAUGGCAUUUAUAAAUAUUGUCACAUGGAACAAUUUAUGUCUGUCAUCUCUUUCUACUUCUAUUAGGCAUCGAAAAAGACGUUCGAAAACUCCUCACAUGCGUUCCUGCUAGAUGACAAUCUAAGACGGAAAAUAGAGCGGCGUACAGUUACCAUAGAUACAGCGAAGGGAAAAUAGAUAGUCUUUACCAAACGAAUGGAGAUUCUGUACCGUAUCCCCAAAUCCAUCAAUGCUAUUCAAGUGAAAACAGAAAAAAUAAGUA